RNAcentral lists this ribosomal RNA (721 nucleotides) under Cyrtonus rotundatus. Its description in RNAcentral is "eukaryotic LSU rRNA". It matches the Rfam family "Eukaryotic large subunit ribosomal RNA", at positions 1304 to 1907 of the family's 3401-position model. Lineage: Eukaryota; Metazoa; Arthropoda; Insecta; Coleoptera; Chrysomelidae. The record is from RNAcentral.
UACUAGCCCUGAAAAUGGAUGGCGCUGAAGCGUCGUGCUUAUACUCGACCGUCAGCGGCAUGUGCGGUAUUGUCUUCGUUUUUCGGAACGUGGACGACCAUGAAGCCCUGACGAGUAGGAGGGUCGCGGCGGUGAGCGCAGAAGGGCUGGCCGUGAGGCCGUCUGGAGCCGCCGUCGGUGCAGAUCUUGGUGGUAGUAGCAAAUACUCCAGCGAGGCCCUGGAGGACUGACGUGGAGAAGGGUUUCGUGUGAACAGCCGUUGCACACGAGUCAGUCGAUCCUAAGCCCUAGGCGAAAGCCGAUGUUGAUGUGGUGUAAGUUUACAAAAAAAAAUCUUAUGAUAUUUUAAAGUUUGAUGAACACACCCGUCGGGCGAAAGGGAAUCCGGUUCCUAUUCCGGAACCCGGCAGCGGAACCGUCAAAAAGUCGGGCCCUCGCAAGAGAGUUCGUCGGGGUAACCCAAAAGGACCCGGAGACGCCGUCGGGAGAUCCGGGAAGAGUUUUCUUUUCUGCAUAAGCGUUCGAGUUCCAUGGAAUCCUCUAGCAGGGAGAUAUGGUUUGGAACGCGAAGAGCACCGCAGUUGCAGCGGUGUCCGGAUCUUCCCCUCGGACCUUGAAAAUCCGGGAGAGGGCCACGUGGAGGCGUCGCGCCGGUUCGUACCCAUAUCCGCAGCAGGUCUCCAAGGUGAAGAGCCUCUAGUCGAUAGAAUAAUGUAGGUAA